CCUACGGGUGGCAGCAGUGGGGAAUAUUGCACAAUGGGCGCAAGCCUGAUGCAGCCAUGCCGCGUGUGUGAAGAAGGCCUUCGGGUUGUAAAGCACUUUCAGCGGGGAGGAAGGCGUUAAGGUUAAUAACCUUGUCGAUUGACGUUACCCGCAGAAGAAGCACCGGCUAACUCCGUGCCAGCAGCCGCGGUAAUACGGAGGGUGCAAGCGUUAAUCGGAAUUACUGGGCGUAAAGCGCACGUAGGCGGUCUGUCAAGUCGGAUGUGAAAUCCCCGGGCUCAACCUGGGAACUGCAUUCGAAACUGGCAGGCUAGAGUCUUGUAGAGGGGGGUAGAAUUCCAGGUGUAGCGGUGAAAUGCGUAGAGAUCUGGAGGAAUACCGGUGGCGAAGGCGGCCCCCUGGACAAAGACUGACGCUCAGGUGCGAAAGCGUGGGGAGCAAACAGGAUUAGAUACCCUAGUAGUC
Molecule: ribosomal RNA, 465 nt
Filed under: uncultured Klebsiella sp.
Lineage: Bacteria; Pseudomonadati; Pseudomonadota; Gammaproteobacteria; Enterobacterales; Enterobacteriaceae
Description: bacterial SSU rRNA
Rfam family: Bacterial small subunit ribosomal RNA
Source: RNAcentral